AUCUACCUUUUGCUGGGGUAUAGCCACAAGAAAUUCUGAUUAAUCCCCCAUAACAUGAAUGCUCUGCAUGGAGCCUUUAUUAAAACUCAGGUGGCAAAAGAUGAGCCUGCGUUUGAUUACUUAGUUGGUGAGGUAAUGGCUCUACCAAGACUAUAAUCAGUAGGGGGCCUGAGAGGGUGCACCCCCACACUGGUACUGAGACACGGACCAGACUUCUACGGAAGGCAGCAGUGAGGAAUAUUGGUCAAUGGAGGAAACUCUGAACCAGCUACGUCGUGUGCAGGAUGACGGUCUUUUAGGUUGUAAACUGCUUUUGUAUAGAAAUAAAAAAUCUUACGUGAUAGGAUCUUGAAGGUACUAUGCGAAUAAGUGUCGGCUAAUUCCGUGCCAGCAGCCGCGGCAAUACGGAUGACACAAGCGUUAUUCGGAUUUAUUGGGUUUAAAGGGUGUGUAGGCUGUUUAUUAAGUCAGUAGUGAAAGCUUACAGCUUAACUGUAAAAUUGCUAUUGAUACUGGUAAACUUGAGUAAGAUUGGAGCAUCUGGAAUGUAUGGUGUAGCGGUGAAAUGCAUAGAUAUCAUACAGAACACCGAUAGCGAAGGCAGGUUGCUAAAUCUUUACUGACGCUGAGUGCACGAAAGCGUGGGUAGCAAACAGGAUUAGAUACCCUGGUAGUCCACGCCCUAAACGAUGAUCACUAGCUAUUGGAAAAACUAUAUUCAGUGGCUUAGCGAAAGCGAUAAGUGAUCCACCUGGGAAGUAUAGUCGCAAGAUUGAAACUCAAAGGAAUUGACGGGGGUUCGCACAAGCGGUGGAGCAUGUGGUUUAAUUCGAUGAUACGCGAGGAACCUUACCAAGGCUUAAAUGUAUUACGAAUAAGCUGGAAACAGCUUAGUCUAUACGACGUAUUACAAGGUGCUGCAUGGUUGUCUUCAGUUCGUGCUGUGAAGUGUUUGGUUAAGUCCUAUAACGAGCGUAACCCCUAUUGUUAGUUGCCAUCGGGUAAAGCCGGGGACUCUAACAAAACUGCCGGUGUAAACUGUGAGGAAGGUGGGGAUGAUGUCAA
RNAcentral lists this ribosomal RNA (1065 nucleotides) under Candidatus Uzinura diaspidicola. RNAcentral describes it as "bacterial SSU rRNA". It matches the Rfam family "Bacterial small subunit ribosomal RNA", at positions 124 to 1188 of the family's 1533-position model. Lineage: Bacteria; Pseudomonadati; Bacteroidota; Flavobacteriia; Flavobacteriales. The record is from RNAcentral.